This 231-nucleotide ribosomal RNA is filed under the name uncultured bacterium. RNAcentral's name for it is "partial 16S ribosomal RNA". It matches the Rfam family "Bacterial small subunit ribosomal RNA", at positions 118 to 347 of the family's 1533-position model. The record is from RNAcentral.
UGAGCAAUCUGCCCUUCUCAUCGGAAUAAGCGUUGGAAACGACGUCUAAUGCCGAAUACGACCUCCUUUCGCAUGAUCGGAGGUGGAAAGCUCCGGCGGAGAAGGAUGAGCUCGCGGCCUAUCAGCUAGUUGGUGUGGGUAAUGGCCCACCAAGGCGACGACGGGUAGCCGGCCUGAGAGGGUGACCGGCCACACUGGGACUGAGACACGGCCCAGACUCCGUACGGGAGC